CAAUAGCGUAUAUUAAAGUUGCUGCAGUUAAAAAGCUCGUAGUUGGAUUUCUGGUGGGCGCGACCGGUCCGCCCCGCAAGGGGUGAGCACUGGCGUCGCCGUCCGCCAUCCUUGGGGAGAGCGUGGUUGGCAUUCAUUUGUCGAUCAUGGGAUCCCCAUCGUUUACUGUGAGAAAAUCAGAGUGUUCAAAACAGGCUUACGCCUUGGAUACAUUAGCAUGGAAUAAUAGUCGAGGCUUUUGGUCUGACUUGUUGGUUUGCAGCCCGAGAGAAUGAUUCAAUAGGGAUAGUUGGGGGUAUUCGUAUUCAAUUGUCAGAGGUGAAAUUCUUGGAUUUAUGGAAGACGAACUACUGCGAAAGCAUUUACCAAGGAUGUUUUCAUUAAUCAAGAACGAAAGUAAGGGGAUCGAAGAUGAUUAGAUACCAU
This 426-nucleotide ribosomal RNA is filed under the name uncultured eukaryote. RNAcentral describes it as "bacterial SSU rRNA". It matches the Rfam family "Eukaryotic small subunit ribosomal RNA", at positions 592 to 1018 of the family's 1831-position model. The record is from RNAcentral.